GGUCACUGAGUCUGUUGAGCCUCACCACUUCUAAGUUCAUUGAUACACCCAGUUGUCCCAGCUGAAGAUGGAUCCUCAGAAAAAGAUUCCCGGGAAUGCAAGAAAAAUCUGCCAUUGAAAAACAUAACUUAAUUAUCCCUGUUCUAGAGAAGACCUGGUAAAUAUGAACAGUGUGCAUUCAAAACAAAAUGGCAAAGAAAAAGACUCCAGAAGUUCUCAUCACUUGGAUUUCUAUAUGAUGGCUCUCCACUACUGAUGGCAGCUUUUUGUGUACAUCAAGCC
Hirundo rustica (Barn swallow) is the source of this 282-nucleotide long non-coding RNA. RefSeq lists it as uncharacterized. The record is from RefSeq and is a predicted model, not a curated record. NCBI's taxonomy places the organism in Eukaryota, Metazoa, Chordata, Aves, Passeriformes, Hirundinidae. The transcript has 3 exons.